RNAcentral lists this transfer RNA (67 nucleotides) under Marmota monax (woodchuck). RNAcentral's name for it is "tRNA.Ala". Lineage: Eukaryota; Metazoa; Chordata; Mammalia; Rodentia; Sciuridae. The record is from RNAcentral.
GGCUGUAGCUCAGUGGUAAAGCACCAGCCUCGCAUGUGUGAGGCACUGAGUUCGAUCCUCAGCACCA